AGAGUUUGAUCCUGGCUCAGGACGAACGCUGGCGGCGUGCCUAACACAUGCAAGUCGAGCGGGGAUGUACUGAAAGCUUGCCGGAUGUACAUCCUAGCGGCGGACGGGUGAGUAACGCGUGGGCAACCUGCCUUCUACUGGGGGAUAACACAGGGAAACCUGUGCUAAUACCGCAUAAUAUCACAUGGGGCAUCCUGUGUGAUCAAAGGAGCAAUCCGGUGGAAGAUGGGCCCGCGUCCGAUUAGCUAGUUGGUGAGGUAACGGCUCACCAAGGCGACGAUCGGUAGCCGGACUGAGAGGUUGGCCGGCCACAUUGGGACUGAGACACGGCCCAGACUCCUACGGGAGGCAGCAGUGGGGAAUAUUGCGCAAUGGGGGAAACCCUGACGCAGCGACGCCGCGUGAAGGAAGAAGGCCUUCGGGUUGUAAACUUCUUUGAUGAGGGACGAACGAAAUGACGGUACCUCAAAAACAAGCCACGGCUAACUACGUGCCAGCAGCCGCGGUAAUACGUAGGUGGCGAGCGUUGUCCGGAAUUACUGGGUGUAAAGGGCGUGUAGGCGGGGAUGCAAGUCAGAUGUGAAAUUCCGAGGCUCAACCUCGGCGCUGCAUCUGAAACUGUGUCUCUUGAGUGUCGGAGAGGAAAGCGGAAUUCCCAGUGUAGCGGUGAAAUGCGUAGAUAUUGGGAGGAACACCGGUGGCGAAGGCGGCUUUCUGGACGACAACUGACGCUGAGGCGCGAAAGCGUGGGGAGCAACAGGAUUAGAUACCCUGGUAGUCCACGCCGUAAACGAUGGAUACUAGGUGUAGGAGGUAUCGACCCCUUCUGUGCCGGAGUUAACACAAUAAGUAUCCCACCUGGGGAGUACGGCCGCAAGGUUGAAACUCAAAUGAAUUGACGG
This 902-nucleotide ribosomal RNA is filed under the name uncultured bacterium. Its description in RNAcentral is "bacterial SSU rRNA". It matches the Rfam family "Bacterial small subunit ribosomal RNA", at positions 8 to 916 of the family's 1533-position model. The record is from RNAcentral.